RNAcentral lists this ribosomal RNA (253 nucleotides) under uncultured bacterium. RNAcentral describes it as "partial 16S ribosomal RNA". It matches the Rfam family "Bacterial small subunit ribosomal RNA", at positions 524 to 776 of the family's 1533-position model. The record is from RNAcentral.
UACGUAGGGGGCAAGCGUUGUCCGGAAUCAUUGGGCGUAAAGCGCGCGUAGGCGGCCCUGUAAGUCCGUUGUGAAAGUCAAAGGCUCAACCUUUGAAAGCCGAUGGAUACUGCAGGGCUAGAGUCCGGAAGAGGCGAGUGGAAUUCCUGGUGUAGCGGUGAAAUGCGCAGAUAUCAGGAGGAACACCGGUGGCGAAGGCGGGUCUCUGGGCCGUAACUGACGCUGAGGAGCGAAAGCGUGGGGAGCGAACAGG